Molecule: long non-coding RNA, 13309 nt
Filed under: Solanum tuberosum (potato)
Lineage: Eukaryota; Viridiplantae; Streptophyta; Magnoliopsida; Solanales; Solanaceae
Description: long non-coding RNA (STUB_LNC010114)
Source: RNAcentral
CCAUUCUUACUAAAAGUAUAUGUUUUCGCAGUUGCAACACCACGAGCUAGCCUGAAAACACCAGAACCACCAACAAUUGGCAUCUCUCGAUAUUCAUUCAAAAUAGGGUUACGUCCAAGUAGACUAAGUGUACUACCAUUAUAUUUCCCAUGAGUAAACACAAAAUUCAAACUCAUCAACAAACUAAAUUCCUCAAGAGAAGCUGCACCAACAAUUCCUUGAGCUCGACCAAUAGUCGUUGAAUUAAUUUCUGGUCCCGUUGUCAAUCGAUCGUCUAAUAUCGCUAGCGAGCCAAACGCCGUAGGCGAAUGAGACGUAGAAUUAGCCUGGGCAAUUGGUAUUGCCGUUGGGUUUUUACCACCAACUAUAUCGUGAAAAUAGAAAUGAAGUUUGGUUAUUUUUGGUUUUGCAUGUGACAGUUUUUGGAACCAAUUUUCAACAGCUUUAGGACCUUGUGCAAUAUUGCAAUGAGCUAAUGGAAUUGAUGAUAAUAUGACAAUAGCAAUAGAGCAAUACAAUAAAAUUGAGUUUAGCUUUGCCAUAUUUUGGUUUUGUGUUUUUGAUUUCUCCAAAAUUUAUGUAUUGUAAGCAAAUGUUUAUAGAAAGAGGGAAGGAUGACUUUAGAAGAAAAGAAUAAUGUGAUGAUUUAGGUGGGAAUCGUUGGACGCUAAUGUUGAUUAUUUUAUUCGCAACCAUACUUUCCUCGAAACAACGUAACUUCAACAUCCUAAUAAACAAAUAUUUUUCGAAAAAAAAUACUAGUUUAUAUUUUGGGUUAAGAAAAUAUUUUUUGAAAAUAAUUGGUUGGUAAGCAAACAAUAUACUAUUUCGGGAAAACAUUAAUCACUGAAUGAUAAAGUUAGGAAAAUCAAAUUAUAUUUUGACAACAUUUUGAAGUAUGAAGAAUUGAUAAUCAUGUCCAAGUGUUUGAGUACAUUAUUAAUAAAAGAAAAAUGAUAACCCCACUUAAAAAUCAGUGCAAAGUCGAAUGAAUAUCGUGUGAAGAUGUUUAAGACUUAAUAUAUAUAGUUAACUUAUAUAGUUUUCGACAUACCUAGUAAUGUAUAGUUUUUUCAGUGAAUAAUGUUCAACUGGCUACACACCCUUCACUAUUCUUCCGGAGACUUUGAUAGUACAAUCAAUUUGCCAAAAAAAAAGUCUAUCAUACUAAACACGCAUUAUAAAGUCUUUUGUAAGAGACUUCAUGACUUCCACACAGGUCACACCACUCGUGGUGUUUACGUUUGUUUCUAGACCUCCUUGAUUAAUUUAUUAUUAUAAAAUUAAUUUUUUAUUAUAAAAAAUUCAAUUUCAAUUGACGACUUAGAUUAUUUAAUAAAUGAUAAAUGAAGUCUUACAGAAUUUUCUAGAAUUGAUUAAUUUCUUGUAAAGAGUGGAUUAAAUAAUUUCUCACUUCAAAAUAAACUUGAUUUUAAAAAAAAUAUCAAUGUAUGAAAUUAUUUUGCCAUCUACUAACUAGCUAGUACAAAAUUGAGAUUAUUCUAGAUUAUAAGAAUUUAUAAAUAGAAAUAUUUAUUUUAACCGUCAACAUAUGUUUCUUAAAAAAGAUAUUAUCUAUAUCUUAGUUAUCAAUAGCAAGGAUUAAUGUAAAUAACUUGAUUGUGCUUACGGACCAAGAUUUAACUUAAUUAAUCUGGAUAAUUCGACCCGAAUUCAGAUAAAAUGGUUGUGUCCAAAUAUAUUAAUGGAGAAAGCUUUAUAUGUAUAAUUUAUUUUUUAACAUACGAUUGAUGAUCUUUCGUAUGACAUAAGACCAUCUCCAACCCAACACCAAAUUUUACAUCAAAUCCUAAAUUUGGUGUUUUGAGCUCCAAUCCACAUCAAUUUUUACAUCAAAUUUGGUGUGUGAAUAGUGUUACACCAAUUCAUUUUUUAAAUAUUUUAAUAUUAUUUCAUUAUACAAACUUUUAAUUAAACAUUAUAUAAAUUGUAUGUUUUAAUUAAAUCUCUUGUAUAUUUAAUUAUUUUUUAUGUAAUAUUUUUAAAAUAUUAAUUUUAGAUAUAAAAUUUAGCUUUUUUAUAAAUUAAUUUUUCUAUAUAUGACUUUUAAAAAAAAAAAAAAUUAUGUUAAUUCUACUAUAAAUUAUAAUUGGAUAUAACUACAAUUAACCUUCACAAAAAUUUAAAAUGCAAACAUUGAACGUAAUGCAUUAAUAGAGCAUUUAUGGGAGCACCGUAGUGAUCUUGAAAGUUGAAUAUUUAUGUAGAAUUUAAAAUAAUUUUUUCAAUUAUGUAAUGUUUAUUUAAUUGUAUUUCAUUAAUGAUUUCACUUUUAUUUGCAUCAUCCAUUAUUAUGUAUAAUGUAUAAUAUUUGCUACUCCCUCCGUCCACAACUGUUUGUCAGGGUAAGGUCAUGCACACCCCUCAAGAAAAAUUUAAUACAAGGUGUAGUUUGACUAAUAUAACCUUACUAUACCUAGAAUACCAAAAGUCCACUUAAUUUUCAAUUGAACUACACUAUCAUUAAGGGCAGAAUUGGAAAAAAGUGACUAAUUAUUUCUUGAUUGUUUAAAUUGACAAUUAAUCUUGGACAUCUAUUUUUAGUAUACCUGCCAACCAAUUGUGGACGGAGGGAGUAGCAAUUUGUAUUAAUUAAAAAAUUAUGGUACAAAAUGAUUUUAUAUUAAACGAUUAUAAAAGGAAAUAAUAUGAAUUAUAUAUGGUGAAUGUUUUAGAAAGAAUUUGUUUUAUGAAAUAAGAAAAUAUAAAUGAAAUAAGAAAUAAUAUAAUAAUAAUGAAGUGAGACAAAUAUUUUUUUUGGUGUAAAAUUUGGUGCAGUGGAUUGGAGUUGAUUACACAAAAAAUAGUGUUGAUACCAAAUUUGGUGUAAAAUUUCGUGUUUGGGUUGGAGAUUCAAGUGGACGGUUGAUCAUAUUUAGGGCCUGUUUGGAUAGCUUAUAAAGAGUAAUUUGUAAGUCAAAAGUUAAAAGUUAUAAGUAGAUGAUAACCUACUUUUGAUUUAUUUUAAAACUUUUUUGGCCUAAAAAUGGAUAUUAAAAGCACUUUAUAACCCUUUCAAACACCUUCAAAACUUUAAAAACUACUCACCCGUUCAUUUUUAAUUGUCAUGGUUUCUUUUUUUAGAGUUAAAAAACUAUAGGAAUUUUGACUAGCAUUUUACGAUGUAUUUUUUCAUCAUAUUGAUAUGCAAAAAAUUGUAAUUUAUAGUAUUUUUUGUAUAGUUUUUGAAUAUAUCUAAAUUUUUUGUUUAAAAUAUCGAAUUAAUGUAAUCUAAUUUAACUUUGAAAAUUAAUUAAAUUAACUUUUGAGGACUGUAACAUGACAAUUAAAAAUGGACAGAAGAAAAACUUAAAAAUAAAAAAUCCUAAAAAUAAGUUAAUCCAAAUGGACACUUGCACCUAAAAAAAGCAUUAAAAGCAAUUGUACCGAUCCUAUCUUGAGAGCACUUUUUGGAAAAGUCACAAUUUUAGAAUCAGCGUUUGGAGUUUAGAUAUUUGACUUCUAAAAACAACUGACAAAAAAGUUACGCGAGUUUAGAUGCUCAAGCAUGGCAUGAGACGAUUGAUUUUUCAGAUCGCUUAUAAUUUCAAUUUUUAAAUUUUAAAUCAUUUUUAUAAGACACUUUUAUUUUUACAUCUAAAAGUUUUGAAAAAGUUCCUUUUUUUUUCUAUUUAUUUUGAAGUGAUUAAAAGAUCCUAAUUUCUCUGUCAAAAAUAUUGUUUUUUUUAAAUUUUAUGUUAAUUUAAAUAAUGCUACAUAAAUUGAAACAAUGAACGCAAAAUAUUCGGUCCAAGUAUUAGAACUGUAGAGUAGGUUGGUCACCUACUUAUUGCUGUCCAUCGCAUUCCCAUGUGAGGAACAAUUAGUGACUUUUGCUUUUGCUUCUACAUAAACUUUAUGUUUGUUUAGUCUAAAUCUGAAAUAUUUUAAUGGCACAAUUUAUUUUAGUUCAUCUUUAGAUAAUGACAAUUUAUUUCAACUGUAUACGUAUUUUGGACAAAUAUAUUGAAAAAAUCUUGGGCGAAACUCCAUUGUGUGUCGCCAAAUAAUUUUUUUGUUUAAAUGGAAUUCUAAACAUGUGUUUUUUUUAAAAUAAAAAAUAAAUAAAUUUCUGUAAAUAUGAUCUAGAAAAAUAAUGAAUUUAGUAAAAAUAAGUUUAUAUAUUAUAAAGAAAUGUCACAUAGAAAUAUUAUUCAUAUGACAACGUGUGCAUCACACCUUCUUGAACCUGUUCCAAGUAAUCAAAUAUAAGAUAUAGUGAUUAAAAAUAAUAUUAGUUUGAAUAUAUAUAUAAUAAAAACAUGUCAAGUUACAAAAUUUGAAGUAAUUUUUCUUUUUCAAUGGUUAAAAUAUUUCUUUGUAGAAACAACUUCUCGAUCAAGAUUUAAUAUGACAAGAAAGUGGAUGUCAUCCCAUUUAAUUUGGUUAGUUAACGUAGGUGGUCAAUUUUACUUCUUUGCAAGAAAUAAAACAAACACUAAAAUAAUAAGAAAGAGAUAGAGUAUUUGUUAUUGACGCAUCUUUUGAAGAUAUUUUUAUAUCUUUCAAUACCAUAGUUAUCCAAGGACGUAGACCAUCGAUCAGUAUAAUAUUGACGUAGGUGUUACAAAUCCGUAAAGUUCAGGUGGCCAACCAACUAAACUACUAAGAUUUUCAAGAUAAUUACAACUUUUUUAUUUUUUAUUUUUAUCAACUUUUUGUGUUCAUUUACCAGUACAUAGCUUAAUUUAGAAAUAUAAUUUAUUUUAUAUAAUCUCAAUUCAUUGACUAUAAAACUAUUUACAUUAUUCAAAACAUUAAACAUGUCCAAGAAAGUUAGCAAUAUGUACAAUCCUAAACAUCUUUAAAUGUCUUAUUUCAUUGUUCAGAACUCAUACAUCUUAAUCCUUGACACAAAUUAAAGUAGAGAAACUAUAUAGGAAAUAUACCAAAUGAACACCAACAAGCAAAGCUUUAAAUAAUUAAAUUAAUGUGAGUAAUGCAGGACCAUAACAUUAUACUCAACAAUAGCAUCCCCACUAGUCAUAUUGAUCCAAUAGGAUUUCGCGGUGGCGAUUCCCUGAGCCAACCGAAAAACUCCAGAACCACCAAUGAUUGGCAUCUCACGGUACUUGUGAAAUACUGGGUUACGACCAAGUACACUCAGCGUGCUACCAUUAUACUUGCCAGCAGUGGCGGACCCAGGAUUUUUGCUCAGGGGGUUCGAAGUAUAAAGAAGAAGUUCAGGUGGUAAUGCAAGUGCGCGAUGAGCGUAGUAGCCCCUCGGCAUGCUCUUUGUACAAGAACCAUAGAUAUUUCAUUGGUUCAUAAAAGUAAAGACUAAGCUAAUCAAAGAUAUCGAGAACAAAGUUGCAUUGAUAAGAAUUUUAGUGGAUCGACUGUAUUACAUAAGUUAAUUCCUAAAUCACAUGAAAAUUAAAUGAUGAAAAAGGAAGCGAGACGGGGAAGAAAAAUAUUUACCUUAUCAUGCUAAAUUUAACUCACUUUAUCAUACCGUAUUAAACAUUUCUUUUUACUUUUAUCAUGCUCCAUCGAGCAUUCUUAAAAUUUCUUGUGCUUUUUAUACUUUUAUUUUGUAAUGUUUUACUUUAUAUUUCACUUUUNNNNNNNNNNNNNNNNNNNNNNNNNNNNNNNNNNNNNNNNNNNNNNNNNNNNNNNNNNNNNNNNNNNNNNNNNNNNNNNNNNNNNNNNNNNNNNNNNNNNNNNNNNNNNNNNNNNNNNNNNNNNNNNNNNNNNNNNNNNNNNNNNNNNNNNNNNNNNNNNNNNNNNNNNNNNNNNNNNNNNNNNNNNNNNNNNNNNNNNNNNNNNNNNNNNNNNNNNNNNNNNNNNNNNNNNNNNNNNNNNNNNNNNNNNNNNNNNNNNNNNNNNNNNNNNNNNNNNNNNNNNNNNNNNNNNNNNNNNNNNNNNNNNNNNNNNNNNNNNNNNNNNNNNNNNNNNNNNNNNNNNNNNNNNNNNNNNNNNNNNNNNNNNNNNNNNAAAAAUAAAAAGAAUGUGUCUAAUAAAUUUAAACAAAAAUAAAUUAAAAAGAAGAAAUGGAAUAAAAGGAAAAAAUAAUGAAAAAGAAGAAGAAGGUCUAAGCCCAAAAGUUCCAUUUUCCAAAGCUAAUAUUAAAAAAGGGAAAAAAUGUUGCCAUUGGGACUUGAACCCAUGACAUAGGGGCACUACAUGAACCACUUAUCCAUUGAGCCAAGUCUGUCCUUUGUUCUCAGGGGGUUCAUUUUAAUAUAUAUACACAUAAAAUCAGAAUUUAACGUUAUAUAUACAGUGUAAUUUUUUGACGAGGGGGUUCGGGUGAACCCCCUGGGCUCUACCUAGGUCCGCCCCUGCUUGCCAGUAGUAAACACAAAGUUGAGGUUCAUGAGAAGGCCAGACUCAUUUUGAUCAGCUGCACCAUAAAUCCCUUGGGCUCGACCCACUAUAGUCGAGUUGGGCUCUGGUCCAACCGUCAGUGGGUCGUCCGCCAUUGCAACAAACCCAAAGGUAGUCAUGUUUGCCUGGGCUAUUUGGACCGCAGUUGGAUUUUUCCCACUAGUUAUGUCAUGAAAAUAGAAAUGAAAUUUAGUUACCUUUUGCUUUGCAUGAGGAAGUUUCUUGAACCAUUUUUCAACAGCUUUGGGUCCUAAUUCAACACCUUGAGCCAUUGGCAUGGCCAUAGCAACUAUGAAGAAAAACAAUAAAACUAACCUUGUUUUUCCCAUCUCUUAAUUUUUCCAAGUCUUAACUAUUUGAGAAAGAGUCCAAUUAGUUGUAGACUUGUAGAUAUAAAGAUAUGAGUAUUAGUAUUUAUAUGUGGUGUGUGAGUGGGGAGUUGGUUGUUAAGAAAUUAAAAAUAUUUAGUUCCUUUACAUUCAGACUAGUAGAAUAUAUAAGUUGUUAGGGUGCAUGUGAUUGGUACGAAAAGAAAAUAUUUUCUUCGAAAAUAAGUGAAUUUCUUAUUUGAUCUCAGAGAUGUUAUAUGUAAGCUAGCUAGUAAACAAUAGAGUCCGCACUUUCUAACAAAGGCUAUUCCAUACUCAAGGAGACUCGAAUACGAAACUUUUGAUUAGAUAAAGUACUUAUCACUCCACCACAAUCCUUGUACGUGAAAAGAUAUAUAUCCUAUACAGCUCAGGUAUAUAUGUAUUGUCUGUAAACUCUAAAUAAUUAAUAUGCAUUACACUAAUCUGCAUGUUCCAGCAACAAUCCUUCAAACUACAACGAACACAUGUACUAAAUCCCAUUUCACACUACAUCAAAUUCAAUUUCAAACUAUUUUAAAGUUGAAUGAAAAAGAUGUAGAAGUCGUGAUAAGUUAUAAAAUUCUAUUUCAGACUACAAUAUUUACAUAUAUUGACAAAAAACUUAAUAAUUCACACAAAUCACCAUAAAAUAUAUAAUUCCUAGCCUGCGAGGUUUCAAUUAUUUGGCUAGAUAGCUCAACGAUAUUCUACGCCAUGACCUAUAGAGUCCGCCCUAUCCAUCAACAAAUCAGCCUUUAUCCUAUCUAAUCAUCUCUCCUCAAUAUAUUUAAUAUUAUCUAUCUUUCUCACACCUUCUCGCUAGAGACUUUGUGUAUCUCCUCUUCAUAUAUCCAAACUAUCUCAACCUCGUUAUUCUCAUCUUGUCCACCACAAAGACAACUCACCUUGUAUCAAAUAUAGUCAUUCUUUAUAUUAUCUUAAUGCAGAUCAUAAAAAUAAUCUGAUACAUUAAUAUUUCUCUAUCACAAAUAUAUAUAUAGGCAUUUAAACAUUCUAGGUUCUAAAUUCUAAAAUAGCAAUAUAAAUGGUAAUAGCUAAAUUAUAAAUUUAAUAUUUGUAGUGCAAAUAUAAAAUUUAAACUAAAGCUACUAAAUUCUAUUGAAUUGUAACCUUUUGCUGGGAAAAGCUACGAUAGUUUCAUAGUGGUCACCCAAACAUUAUUUCUUCGUUAAAAAAUUAUAUUGUGUAUAGAUCAAAUCUUACUUUAUGUUAGUAUAUUACAGAAGCUUAUUGCGUGACUAUACAAAACUUAUAUUAGUUAUAGUCAAUACUUAAUAUUAUUAGAAUAAUAGUAUCAUACUUAAAGAAAAAUGAUUAAAAAAUAAUUUUAUCGAAAGCAAAAUCUUGUAAUAAGGGCAAAAGAUUUCAUCAAACAUUUUUAAUCAAUAGAAAUAUCCUUAUAACUUCCAAAACAUGGUCAAAGGUCUUAUUUCAAUGAUCAAAAAGUCAAAACAUGUCUUUAUCCUUCCAACAAUAUAGAUAAACUAUAUAUAGGAAAUACAUAUUACAAAUGACCACCAACAAUUAGCAACGACCAUUCAAUUAAAUUAAUUACUAUUCGUAAUACAGUAGCAUAAUAUGAUACUCAACCACAGCAUCUCCACUAGUCGUAUUGAACCAACAAGUAUUCGCAGUCGCAAUUCCUUGAGCCAAUCGAAAAACUCCAGAACCACCAAUGAUAGGCAUUUCACAAUAUUGGUGAAAUAAAGGGUUCCGACCAAGCAUACUGAACGUACUACCAUUAUACUCUCCACUUGUAAACACAAAGUUAAGAGUCAUAAGAAGGCUAAAUUCAUUUUGAUCAGCUGAACCAUAAAACCCUUGGGCUCGACCCACUAUUGGCGAGUUGGGGUCGGGUCCAACUGUUAGUUUAUCUUCUAUCAUAUCAACUAAACCAAAAUAAAUUGGGGGUUUAGCAGUCGUAUUAGGCUGAGCUAUUGUAAUUGCAGUUGGAUUUUUCCCGCUAACUACAUCAUGAUAAUAUAAAUGAAAUUUAGUUAGCUUUUGCUUUGCAUGAGGAAGCUUCUCGAACCAUUCCUCAACAGCUUUGGGUCCUAAUUCAACACAUUGAGCCAUUGGUAUGGCUAAAAUAACUAUGAAGCAAAAUAAUAGAACUAGCCUUGUUUUCCCCAUUUUCUCAAUUUUUAUUUACUUGUAUACAAUAGUAUGAAUACAUUUAUGUAUAUAGAGUGUGUGAGUAGAACAAGAGGUGCAUUUUUACUUUUACUAAAUAUAGUUGGUCAAAAUACUUGUAAUCUUGACACAUUAUUAUAAGAUCUCAUUUGAUUUACAAAAUAAUUUUUAUAUAUAAAAAUUUAAAAUAUUUUGAAAUAUUUCUUUUGUUUUUUGUCCUCAAAACUAAUUAUAUUUGCUUUUAACUCUUAAUUAGUUCAUUUUAUUUAACACUUUAAUCAUUUUAUAUUUUCCUCUAAUAUUUCAUUACCUAAAACUUGAUUUCUAGAAAAUUUAAGUAAAUUAAUAGUAUAUUCUCUUAUUACAUAAGAGACAGUUUAGGUUGAAGCAGGCACGUCUCCGUCGACUGCCUGCUUCAGCAUGUUUUUUAAAAAAAACUUAAAAAUUUAUUUCUUUUGUUCUACUUUAAUUUAAUAGUGUAUAAUUUUUUUGAAAUUAUGAAAUUUGUUUUAGCUAUGAAUUUUAGUUUCGUCUCUGUAGACAUGCCUACUUCAGCGUCUUUUUGAAAAAAAAAACUUAAAAAUCUAUUUCUUUUGUUCUACUUUAAUUUAAUUAGUGUUAAGAGACAGGUUGUGCUGAAGUAGGCAUAUGUCUCCGACGACAUGCCGGCUAACAUGUUUUUUUUUUUUUAAAACUUAAAAAUUUAUUUCUUUUAUUCUACUUUAAUUUAAUUAGUGUAUAAUUUUUUCGAAAUUAUGGAAUCCGUUUUAGUUAUGAAUUUUAGUUUCGUCUCAGUCGACGUGCCUGCUUCAGCGUGUUUUUUUAAAAAAAACUUAAAAAUUUAUUUAUUUUGUUCUACUUUAAUUUAAUUAGUGUAUAAUUUUUUCAAAAUUAUGGAAUCCAUUUUAGGUAUGAAUUUUAGUUUUAAAUUCAAGAAGAUGUGCAUGCUUCAACGUGUUUCGAAAAAAUAUUUCAAAAAAAAUUAUUUCUUUUGUUCUACUUUAAUUUAAUUAGUGUAUAAUUUUUUCGAAAUUAUGGAAUUUGUUUUAGCUAUGACUUUUAGUUUUAAAUUCAUAUUCUUUAGUUAUUGCUUAUGAAAUCCGUUUCAGCUAUGACUUUAGUUAUUUUGAAAGUUGAUAAUAUUGCUAUAUCUUGUAACUACUUUGAGUGAGUUUUUGGAACCAAUUUUCAACAGCUUUAGGACUUUGUGCAAUAUUGCAAUGAGCUAAUGGAAUUGAUGAUAAUAUGAAUAGCAAUAGAGCAAUACAAUAAAAUUGAGUUUAGCUUUGCCAUGUUUUGGUUUUGUGUUUUUGAUUUCUCCAAAAUUAAUGUAUUGUAAGUAAAUAUUUAUAGAAAGAGGGAAGGAUGACUUUAGAAGAAAAGAAUAAUGUGAUGAUUUAGGCGGGAGUCGUUGGACGCCAAUGUUGAUUAUUUUAUUCGCAACCAUACUUUCCUUGAAACCUACUUCAACAUCCUAAUAAACAAAUGUUUUUUUUUUUAAAAAAAAGUUUAUAUUUUGGGUUAAGAAAAUAUUUUUUGAUAAUAAUUGGUUGGUAAGCAAACAAUAUACUAAUUCGGAAAAACAUCUAUUACAGAAUGAUAAAGUUAGGAAAAUCAAAUUAUAUUUUGACAACAUUUUGAAGUAUAAAGAAUUGAUCAUAAUCAUGUCCAAGUGUUUUGAGUACAUUAAUAAAAGAAAAAUGACACCCCCACCUGAAAAUCAGUGCAAAAUCGAAUAUCGUGCGAAGAAUAUUUAAGACUUAAUAUAUAUAGUUAACUUAUAUAAUUUUCAACAUAUCUAGUAAUAUGUAUAAUUUUUCGGUGAAUAAUGUUCAACUGGCCACACAACCUUCACUAUUUUUCCGGAGACUUUGGCAGUACAAUCAAUUUGCAAAAACAAUCUAUCGUACUAAACACGCAUUAUAAAGUCUUUGGUAAGAGACUUCAUGAGUUCCUCAGACCACAGUCCACACAGGUCACCACCUGUACCUCGUGGUGUUUAGGUUUGUUUCUAGACCUCCUUGAUUAAUUUAUUACUCUAUUACAAAAUUAUUAUUUUUAUCAUAAAAAUUUCAACUUCAAUGUUGAAUGUCAAUUUGAUGACGACUUAGAUAAUUUAAUAAAAAGCGAAAUGAUUUGGUGGACCCUUAUACUUGUUCGAGUUUGUAUUAUGAACUCUUUUACUUAACAUUUUACCAAGUAAAUCCUUAAACUCAAUAAAAUAUGAUAUGUCAAACCCCUUUAACUAUUGACCAGAAUUAUGUGACAUUAAGAUGACUGAGUUGGCAGAGAGUGUGACUACACCCAUGUGAAGCCAAGUCAACUUCAUAUUUAAAUUUUAAAAAUACUAAAAAAUAAAAUGAUAACUAAAAAAAAACUAAAAGAUAAAAUAAUAAAUUAAAUAAAUAAAUAAAUUUGAAAAAACUCUUCUUCCUUCAACACUACCUACUUUUCGCCUCCAUCUCCAUCCGUGCCCCAAUCCCUUUUUCUUUCUUCUCCACAUUAUUAUCACCUUUAGCAGGACAUUGACACCUCCUUGUCAUCAGAUUUCAAAUUGUUAUCACUGUAGGGAGAAAACGACGUUGAUUUUAUGGUGGUGCUCGUCGGAGUCUACUGAUUCGAAGUGGAGUAAGAGAGAGAGGUGACGUUAAUCCUUUUUCACCAAGAGGGAGGCGGCAAGGGGGUUUAUUGGUACGACGGAGAGGAUGGAGAGGAGAGGCGGACCCUGGUGGUUCGCAGGGGUCGCCGGUGAUGUGUCGGCUUAGGGUUACUGAUUUUGUGGAGGUUAGAGAAAGAGGAAAGGAAAAUAGUGAGGUUUGCAACAAAGAUGGAGACGGGUACAGGUCUCGCCCAGUGGCGGACCCAAGAUUUUCACCAAGUGGGUUCAACCUAUAAAAAAUAAAACUAAAAUGUGGCAACAGAGAUUCAAACUUGGGCUGGCUGAGAAAAUUGAACCAUUUUCACCACUCUGCCAAGGGUCACACUUGUGUUAAUGGGUUCAAAAGUUAAUAUAUACAUAUAAAAUUUAAAAAACAGAUCAAAUAUAUAUAUAUAUAUAUAUAUAUAUAUACACGAUGUUAUUUUUCAACGAAGUGGGUUCAUAUGAACCCACUUGACCCUCUGUAGGUCCGCUCCUGGUCUCGCCGGCAAGAAGAGCGGUGGCGGCGACGAUUUUCGCCCGUGGAUUUUGGAUGUUACAUGGUUGAAAUAAGGAGAGGAGGUGUGGAGUCCCAAAUUUUGCUUAAUAAAUUUAAAAUUUAUUAUUUUAUAUUUUAUUUAAUAAAAUUUUAAUUUAAAAAAAAAAUAGAUAAUGAAGAUAAUUAUGACAUGUUAUUAAUUUAUAUUAUAUUACAUAGAUUUAACAUGUCAUUGCAAGAAAAGUGUGAAUUACAUGAGGAUUUUCCUGGGGUUUAGUAUGAAAAUUUGUAGGAAAAUAAGUUUCCUACGAAUUUUCAUAUUAAUUCCCAGGAAAAUCCCAUGUAAUUCACACUUUUCUUUUAGUGUGUCAUCUAUUCAAGGGUGAGUGAACUACACACAUGAUAUGAGGGGUUUAAAAAUAUCCGUUUAAUUGAGUUUAAGGGUUUAGUUGGUAAAUAUUAUUUGGAGAAGGAGAGGUUGAAUUGCGUGUGCGAAAGUUGAGAAGUGAUUUUUCUGUCUUUAGCGAUUACAAGACAACUCAUAUAGGUGCUUGGGUUAUGAAAGACUAUGGGGUUAAAAAAUCUUGGACAAAGAUGUUUACCAUCAGGUAUCCAAAUGAUCCAGAAUGGUUACCAAACUUUUUCAUGUCAAAUAAUGGUGAAAUAUUCUCGUUGUUGUCGGGAACAACUUCCAUAAUAUACAAUUCAAAAGAUGACUCAUUCAGAUAUUCAAAUGUUAUUAACUGUCAUUACGUUAAAUAACACAAUUCAAAAGUGACUCAUUCAGAAUUUGUAAUCUGAAAUAAACUUUAGACAUUUGUGUGAUGGUAGAUCAUUUUAUUAAUGAUAAAAGAUGAAUUUUAAAGUUGUUAUUGUCAAUUAUAAAAAAAAAAGUGACAUUACUAACCGAUUGACUUGACAAAAAAAAGUAACGUUGCUAUCAAAUUACACGAACAUUAGAAUGGGAAAACGAAAAAAGAGCGUACAUAUGAGAAAAAAAAAGAAAUCAAAAUAAAAUUAGCAAUUCGGCCGUCCCAACAUAUAAUCUUUAACUCAAUAAUGCAAAACUACAACAUUAUACUCAACAAUAGCAUCUCCAUUCUUACUUAAAGUAUGUGUUUUAGCGGUUGCAACACCACGAGCUAGCCGGAAAACACCCGAACCACCAACAAUUGGCAUCUCUCGAUAUUCAUUCAAAAUAGGGUUACGUCCAAGUAGACUAAGUGUACUACCAUUAUAUUUCCCAUGAGUAAACACAAAAUUCAAACUCAUCAACAAACUAAAUUCCUCAAGAGAAGCUGCACCAACAAUUCCUUG